RNAcentral lists this small nucleolar RNA (101 nucleotides) under Moschus moschiferus (Siberian musk deer). Its description in RNAcentral is "Small nucleolar RNA SNORA26 (ENSMMSG00000004105.1)". It matches the Rfam family "Small nucleolar RNA SNORA26". Rfam says of the family: The snoRNA HBI-6 belong to the H/ACA family of snoRNAs, guiding the pseudouridylation of position U4522 if the 28S rRNA. Lineage: Eukaryota; Metazoa; Chordata; Mammalia; Artiodactyla; Moschidae. The record is from Rfam by way of RNAcentral.
GUGCCCUUUUAAGGCGGACACAGGAGGGUAAAGAAAGUCUCCAUAAAACCCAGAGAAGAGAUUUUAGAACUCUUCUCUGGAUCCUAUCUGGAGUCACAACU